RNAcentral lists this unclassified non-coding RNA (193 nucleotides) under rhizosphere metagenome. RNAcentral's name for it is "partial ribosomal RNA internal transcribed spacer region". The record is from RNAcentral.
AAGUUCGACGCCGAAAGGCGUCCCACCUUCAAACCAUUGUGAACACACCCGUUGCUUCGGCGGCGUUGGACCGCCUUCGCGGGCGCCCUCGUCAGCCCGCCCGAGGCUCCAAACCAAAACCUUUUCAGUAACCGUAGUCUGACAACCAAAGAUUUAAUUCGUUAAAACUUUCAACAACGGAUCUCUUGGUUCU